ACACGUGGGUAACCUGCCUUAUAGUGGGGGAUAGCCUUUCGAAAGGAAGAUUAAUACCGCAUAAGAUUGUAGUAUCGCAUGAUAUAGCAAUUAAAGGAGCAAUUCGCUAUAAGAUGGACCCGCGUCGCAUUAGCUAGUUGGUGAGGUAAUGGCUCACCAAGGCGACGAUGCGUAACCGACCUGAGAGGGUGAUCGGCCACAUUGGGACUGAGACACGGCCCAGACUCCUACGGGAGGCAGCAUG
RNAcentral lists this ribosomal RNA (244 nucleotides) under uncultured bacterium. Its description in RNAcentral is "partial 16S ribosomal RNA". It matches the Rfam family "Bacterial small subunit ribosomal RNA", at positions 113 to 353 of the family's 1533-position model. The record is from RNAcentral.